Molecule: non-coding RNA, 74 nt
Organism: Danio rerio (zebrafish)
Lineage: Eukaryota; Metazoa; Chordata; Actinopteri; Cypriniformes; Danionidae
Source: Rfam
GGCCGGUUAGCUCAGCUGGUUAGAGCGUGGUGCUAAUAACGCCAAGGUCGCGUGUUCGAUCCCCGUACUGGCCA